UGGGGAAUAUUGCACAAUGGGCGCAAGCCUGAUGCAGCCAUGCCGCGUGUAUGAAGAAGGCCUUCGGGUUGUAAAGUACUUUCAGUCGGGAGGAAGGUGUCAAGGUUAAUAACCUUGGCAAUUGACGUUACCGACAGAAGAAGCACCGGCUAACUCCGUGCCAGCAGCCGCGGUAAUACGGAGGGUGCAAGCGUUAAUCGGAAUUACUGGGCGUAAAGCGCACGCAGGCGGUCUGUCAAGUCGGAUGUGAAAUCCCCGGGCUCAACCUGGGAACUGCAUCUGAUACUGGCAAGCUUGAGUCUCGUAGAGGGGGGUAGAAUUCCAGGUGUAGCGGUGAAAUGCGUAGAGAUCUGGAGGAAUACCGGUGGCGAAGGCGGCCCCCUGGACAAAGACUGACGCUCAGGUGCGAAAGCGUGGGGAGCAAACAGG
This 429-nucleotide ribosomal RNA is filed under the name Chloroflexota bacterium. Its description in RNAcentral is "Chloroflexi bacterium partial 16S ribosomal RNA". It matches the Rfam family "Bacterial small subunit ribosomal RNA", at positions 355 to 776 of the family's 1533-position model. The record is from RNAcentral. Lineage: Bacteria; Bacillati; Chloroflexota.